RNAcentral lists this small nuclear RNA (293 nucleotides) under Mus pahari (shrew mouse). RNAcentral describes it as "sRNA (MGP_PahariEiJ_G0008049.1)". It matches the Rfam family "7SK RNA". From Rfam's summary of the family: 7SK was discovered as an abundant small nuclear RNA in the mid-70s but a possible function has only recently been suggested. Two independent studies have found that 7SK RNA binds the CDK9/cyclin T complex (known as elongation factor P-TEFb). The record is from RNAcentral. Lineage: Eukaryota; Metazoa; Chordata; Mammalia; Rodentia; Muridae.
GGAUGUGGUGAUCUGGCUGCAACAUCUGCAACCCCAUUAACUGCCUGUGUUGAUUCAGCUGAACUGGCUGGCUGGGUGGGCAUCCCGUUCCUCCUUCCAUGCUCCGUGUCUAUCCCUCCUCCAGCAGUGCACUCGGUGGAAGGGAAAGACCUUGUCCAACACAGGAAGGCUGGCCUUCAAUCAAAGGCAUCUUAGCUGAUCCGCCCUAGUGGAACCUUCAAACACGCUGCCAAAGCAAUGGGGGUGGGGGGCGUGGUGGUGGGGUGGUGCUGGUCCAUUUCCGUAUUAUACCA